CGCGCUGUAGAGCAGUGGCCAGCUCGCAAGGCUCAUAACCUUGAGGUCGUCGGUUCGAAUCCGGCCAGCGCAA
RNAcentral lists this transfer RNA (73 nucleotides) under Aliivibrio sp. RNAcentral describes it as "tRNA-Met". It matches the Rfam family "tRNA". Rfam says of the family: Transfer RNA (tRNA) molecules are approximately 80 nucleotides in length. Their secondary structure includes four short double-helical elements and three loops (D, anti-codon, and T loops). The record is from RNAcentral. RNAcentral also lists the same sequence under 3 other names. Lineage: Bacteria; Pseudomonadati; Pseudomonadota; Gammaproteobacteria; Vibrionales; Vibrionaceae.